CCUACGGGUGGCAGCAGUGAGGAAUAUUGGUCAAUGGACGAGAGUCUGAACCAGCCAAGUCGCGUGAAGGAUGACUGCCCUAUGGGUUGUAAACUUCUUUUAUAUGGGAAUAAAAUGUUCCACGUGUGGGAUUUUGUAUGUACCUUAUGAAUAAGCAUCGGCUAACUCCGUGCCAGCAGCCGCGGUAAUACGGAGGAUCCGAGCGUUAUCCGGAUUUAUUGGGUUUAAAGGGAGCGUAGGUGGAUUGUUAAGUCAGUUGUGAAUGUUUGCGGCUCAACCGUAAAAUUGCAGUUGAAACUGGGGGUCUUGAGUACAGGAGAGGUAGGCGGAAUUCGUGGUGUAGCGGUGAAAUGCUUAGAUAUCACGAAGAACUCCGAUUGCGAAGGCAGUUCACUGGACUGCAACUGACGCUGAGGCUCGAAAGUGUGGGUAUCAAACAGGAUUAGAUACCCCAGUAGUC
Molecule: ribosomal RNA, 460 nt
Filed under: uncultured bacterium
Lineage: Bacteria
Description: partial 16S ribosomal RNA
Rfam family: Bacterial small subunit ribosomal RNA
Source: RNAcentral